UGGGGGGAGAAAGAGUUUAGAGUUUGACUUCUAUCAAGUUAGAGGGAUGUAAUAACAUCUUAGGCUUUCCAUUAAAAAUUCAAAGAGACCAUGAGUUUAGAUUCAAGAGUAUGUCUUAGGACUAAGGGCAAAACCAAAAUACACCUGACCUUAACAAAUACAAAACCAAGCCUCCACAAGGUCAUAGUGAUCAGCCAGUAAUUUAAUCAGAGGAAGAAAAAAUGAAUUCAGA
RNAcentral lists this long non-coding RNA (232 nucleotides) under Homo sapiens (human). RNAcentral's name for it is "non-protein coding lnc-POLL-5:1". Lineage: Eukaryota; Metazoa; Chordata; Mammalia; Primates; Hominidae. The record is from RNAcentral.